RNAcentral lists this ribosomal RNA (731 nucleotides) under uncultured crenarchaeote. RNAcentral describes it as "bacterial SSU rRNA". It matches the Rfam family "Archaeal small subunit ribosomal RNA", at positions 591 to 1320 of the family's 1478-position model. The record is from RNAcentral. Lineage: Archaea; Thermoproteati; Thermoproteota.
ACUAGGAGGCGGGAGAGGUGGACGGUACUCCACGGGUAGGGGUAAAAUCCUCUGAACCAUGGAAGACCACCAGUGGCGAAGGCGGUCCACCAGAACGCGCUCGACGGUGAGGGAUGAAAGCUGGGGUAGCGAACCGGAUUAGAUACCCGGGUAGUCCCAGCUGUAAACGAUGCAAGCUAGGUGAUGCAUUAGCCAUGUGUUAAUGCAGUGCCGCAGGGAAGCCGUUAAGCUUGCCGCCUGGGGAGUACGGUCGCAAGGCUGAAACUUAAAGGAAUUGGCGGGGGAGCACCACAAGGGGUGAAGCCUGCGGUUCAAUUGGAGUCAACGCCGGGAACCUUACCAGGAGAGACAGCAGGGUGAAGGUCAGGCUGAAGACUUUACCAGACAAGCUGAGAGGAGGCGCAUGGCCGUCGACAGCUCGUGCCGUGAGGCGUCCUGUUAAGUCAGGCAACGAGCGAGACCCUUGCCAUUAAUUGCUUCCAUCGAUCGCAAGGUUGGCGGAGCUAGUUAAUGGGACUGACGUUAAUAAAACGAAGGAAGGAAGGGGCCACGGCAGGUCAGUAUGCCCCGAAACUCUUGGGCCACACGCGGGCUGCAAUGGUAGGCACAAUAGGUACCAAGCUCGAAAGAGCAAGGCAAUCCCCAAAUCCUACCCCAGUUGUGAUUGAGGGCUGCAACUCGCCCUCAUGAAUCUGGAAUCCCUAGUAAUUGCGUGUCAACAUCGCGCGGUG